AAACGGUUCGGUUUGGUUUGGUACCAUUUGGGACCGCUGUCUUAAUUAGUGGACCGCUCUCUCAAUUCGUUAACGGAUGCUUUAUUAAUUACAGAGAAAUAAUCCUGUGAUUUACAGAGGAAUUGGAACUUCCAGAUAUUAUUAGCCACGCGUCAAGCCUGCAUCGGAAAAUUAUGCUUCCGUGAAAAGACAGUUGUGGAGCGAAUCGCCACCUGAAUCUGUCUUGGUCCUGAUGGAUGUUACGUGGACAAAAUGAAGGGAAGUUAAUUAGUUAAAUACGACAGGUAAAAUCCUAAGAUAUUUUUUGGCGGAU
RNAcentral lists this unclassified non-coding RNA (313 nucleotides) under Hevea brasiliensis (rubber tree). The record is from RNAcentral. Lineage: Eukaryota; Viridiplantae; Streptophyta; Magnoliopsida; Malpighiales; Euphorbiaceae.